Molecule: ribosomal RNA, 253 nt
Filed under: uncultured bacterium
Lineage: Bacteria
Description: partial 16S ribosomal RNA
Rfam family: Bacterial small subunit ribosomal RNA
Source: RNAcentral
UACGAAGGGGGCUAGCGUUGUUCGGAUUUACUGGGCGUAAAGCGCACGUAGGCGGAUCGAUCAGUCAGGGGUGAAAUCCCAGAGCUCAACUCUGGAGCUGCCUUUGAUACUGUCGAUCUGGAGUAUGGAAGAGGUGAGUGGAAUUCCGAGUGUAGAGGUGAAAUUCGUAGAUAUUCGGAGGAACACCAGUGGCGAAGGCGGCUCACUGGUCCAUUACUGACGCUGAGGAGCGAAAGCGUGGGUAGCAAACAGG